RNAcentral lists this small RNA (56 nucleotides) under uncultured Dinobryon. Its description in RNAcentral is "partial Mitochondrion-encoded tmRNA". The record is from RNAcentral. Lineage: Eukaryota; Chrysophyceae; Chromulinales.
GCGGAUUUUGGUAUUCAUACAAACCCAAAUGAAAUAGAGAAUAAUAUUAAAUCUGA